GGGUUUUAUGAGAAGGUGAUUCUGCAUGGAAAAUAUUCAUAUUUCUGUUUUUGCUUUUACUUGUUGUUCCUGUAUGGUUUAUUUAUGUAAACCUUUGGUGUAAAGUUUGAACCUCCCAAACACAUGCAUUCACACAUAUUUUACUGUAUGAAGUUAUGAACCAAACACUGAGUUGGUGUCCUGUCUUAUAAAUUUAUAAUCAUAUUUCUAAUGAGAAAUGUCAAAUAUGUAAAGAAAGAUUUAAGUUGAGAAGUCAAACAAAAGAUUUGUUAGAGAUAAGUUUUGCUUGAAAUUUCUUUAUGCAAAAAGCAGUAAAGAUGAAGACUUGUGUGCAUCAGAAACUGGAAAAAAAAUGAGGAAAAGAGUGGUGAGCAGUUGGAGAGGAGAAAUGGAAUAGGAAGGAAAAGAGAUGUUCUCCAUUAAAAAAAAGAGAAAUGGAGAGAGAGAGAGAGAG
Molecule: unclassified non-coding RNA, 454 nt
Filed under: Hevea brasiliensis (rubber tree)
Lineage: Eukaryota; Viridiplantae; Streptophyta; Magnoliopsida; Malpighiales; Euphorbiaceae
Source: RNAcentral